UACGUAGGGGCCGAGCGUUGUCCGGAGUUAUUGGGCGUAAAGCGCGCGCAGGCGGCCUCGCGCGCCCGACGUGAAAGCCCCCGGCUUAACCGGGGAGGGUCGUUGGGGACGGCGGGGCUUGAGGGCGGGAGAGGUCGGUGGAAUUCCCGGUGUAGUGGUGAAAUGCGUAGAGGUCGGGAGGAACACCUGUGGCGAAGGCGGCCGACUGGGCCGACCCUGACGCUGAGGCGCGAAAGCGUGGGUAGCAAACAGG
This 253-nucleotide ribosomal RNA is filed under the name uncultured bacterium. RNAcentral describes it as "partial 16S ribosomal RNA". It matches the Rfam family "Bacterial small subunit ribosomal RNA", at positions 524 to 776 of the family's 1533-position model. The record is from RNAcentral.